RNAcentral lists this ribosomal RNA (402 nucleotides) under uncultured bacterium. Its description in RNAcentral is "bacterial SSU rRNA". It matches the Rfam family "Bacterial small subunit ribosomal RNA", at positions 355 to 774 of the family's 1533-position model. The record is from RNAcentral.
UAAGGAAUAUUGCACAAUGGGCGAAAGCCUGAUGCAGCAACGCCGCGUGAGUGAUGAAGGCCUUCGGGUUGUAAAGCUCUGUCUUCUGGGACGAUAAUGACGGUACCAGAGGAGGAAGCCACGGCUAACUACGUGCCAGCAGCCGCGGUAAUACGUAGGUGGCAAGCGUUGUCCGGAUUUACUGGGCGUAAAGGAUGCGUAGGCGGAUACUUAAGUCAGAUGUGAAAAUCCCGGGCUUAACUUGGGAACUGCAUUUGAAACUGGGUAUCUAGAGUGCGGGAGAGGAAAGUGGAAUUCCUAGUGUAGCGGUGAAAUGCGUAGAGAUUAGGAAGAACACCAGUGGCGAAGGCGACUUUCUGGACCGUAACUGACGCUGAGGCAUGAAAGCGUGGGGAGCAAACA